Molecule: ribosomal RNA, 485 nt
Filed under: Micrococcineae bacterium CL1.108
Lineage: Bacteria; Bacillati; Actinomycetota; Actinomycetes; Micrococcales
Description: bacterial SSU rRNA
Rfam family: Bacterial small subunit ribosomal RNA
Source: RNAcentral
UUGUGCUUGAUCCCUGGCUCAGGACGAACGCUGGCGGCGUGCUUAACACAUGCAAGUCGAACGAUGAAAGAGGGAGCUUGCUUCUUCUGGAUUAGUGGCGAACGGGUGAGUAACACGUGAGCAAUCUGCCCUUGACUCUGGGAUAAGCGUUGGAAACGACGUCUAAUACCGGAUACGACCCUCGGAGGCAUCUCCUGGGGGUGGAAAGAAUUUUGGUCAAGGAUGAGCUCGCGGCCUAUCAGCUAGUUGGUGAGGUAAUGGCUCACCAAGGCGACGACGGGUAGCCGGCCUGAGAGGGUGACCGGCCACACUGGGACUGAGACACGGCCCAGACUCCUACGGGAGGCAGCAGUGGGGAAUAUUGCACAAUGGGCGAAAGCCUGAUGCAGCAACGCCGCGUGAGGGAUGACGGCCUUCGGGUUGUAAACCUCUUUUAGUAGGGAAGAAGCGAAAGUGACGGUACCUGCAGAAAAAGCACCGGCUAA